GUUUAGCCUGCAUUAGUAGCCACAUAGUGAAUAUAGCUUUAGGCCUAGCAGAACUGGCAAACAUCAAGCAUUUCCAUGAGACUCUGGUCCUUUCCCCAAUCAAUCCAAGAUAAACUUGCUUUAUAAUACCAUGUUGCUUUUUCACCAAAUGUUCUACUUGAUUCCAUGGAGUCCUAGAUUCCAAUAUUUUCCUUGUAAUCCAACA
This 205-nucleotide unclassified non-coding RNA is filed under the name Hevea brasiliensis (rubber tree). Lineage: Eukaryota; Viridiplantae; Streptophyta; Magnoliopsida; Malpighiales; Euphorbiaceae. The record is from RNAcentral.